GACGAACGCUGGCGGCGUGCUUAACACAUGCAAGUCGAACGGAAAGGCCCUGCUUUUGUGGGGUGCUCGAGUGGCGAACGGGUGAGUAACACGUGAGUAACCUGCCCUUGACUUUGGGAUAACUUCAGGAAACUGGGGCUAAUACCGGAUAGGAUCUCCUGCUGCAUGGUGGGGGUUGGAAAGUUUCGGCGGUUGGGGAUGGACUCGCGGCUUAUCAGCUUGUUGGUGGGGUAGUGGCUUACCAAGGCUUUGACGGGUAGCCGGCCUGGGAGGGUGAACGGGGUCCAGGGUCCUGAGGUACGGACCAGAGUCCUACGGGAGGCAGCAGUGGGGAGUAUUGCACAAUGGGCGCAAGCCUGAUGCAGCAACGCCGCGUGCGGGAUGACGGCCUUCUGGUUGUAAACCGCAUUCGCCUGUGACGAAGCGUGAGUGACGGUAAUGGGUAAAGAAGCACCGGCUAACUACGUG
RNAcentral lists this ribosomal RNA (468 nucleotides) under uncultured bacterium. RNAcentral describes it as "partial 16S ribosomal RNA". It matches the Rfam family "Bacterial small subunit ribosomal RNA", at positions 28 to 507 of the family's 1533-position model. The record is from RNAcentral.